This 321-nucleotide ribosomal RNA is filed under the name uncultured eukaryote. RNAcentral describes it as "partial 18S ribosomal RNA". It matches the Rfam family "Eukaryotic small subunit ribosomal RNA", at positions 1470 to 1796 of the family's 1831-position model. The record is from RNAcentral.
CCCUUAGAUGUCCUGGGCCGCACGCGCGCUACACUGACAUGUUCAACAAGCCUCCUAGUUCGACAGGAUUUGGGAAAUCUUUGAACGCAUGUCGUGAUAGGGAUAGAUCAUUGCAAUUAUUGAUCUUGAACGAGGAAUUCCUAGUAAACGCGAGUCAUCAGCUCGCAUUGAUUACGUCCCUGCCCUUUGUACACACCGCCCGUCGCACCUACCGAUUGAAUGUUUCGGUGAAGAUUCCGGAUAGGUCUUUUUUGAUUUAUUUCAAUUCUGUCUUAAAAGCUAUCUAAACCUCAACAUUUAGAGGAAGGUGAAGUCGUAACA